GUCACGGAAGUGCAAUUGAUAGCACAACAGACUGUACAUUUGUAAAUGCAGGUUCAAAUCCAUCCUGAGGUU
RNAcentral lists this transfer RNA (72 nucleotides) under Dictyocaulus viviparus (bovine lungworm). It matches the Rfam family "tRNA". From Rfam's summary of the family: Transfer RNA (tRNA) molecules are approximately 80 nucleotides in length. Their secondary structure includes four short double-helical elements and three loops (D, anti-codon, and T loops). Further hydrogen bonds mediate the characteristic L-shaped molecular structure. tRNAs have two regions of fundamental functional importance: the anti-codon, which is responsible for specific mRNA codon recognition, and the 3' end, to which the tRNAs corresponding amino acid is attached (by aminoacyl-tRNA synthetases). tRNAs cope with the degeneracy of the genetic code in two manners: having more than one tRNA (with a specific anti-codon) for a particular amino acid; and 'wobble' base-pairing, i.e. permitting non-standard base-pairing at the 3rd anti-codon position. The record is from Rfam by way of RNAcentral. Lineage: Eukaryota; Metazoa; Nematoda; Chromadorea; Rhabditida; Metastrongylidae.